ACCGGAGCUAAUACCGGAUAAUCCCUUUCUCCACCUGGAGAGAGGGUGAAAGAUGGCUUCGGCUAUCACUAGGGGAUGGGCCCGCGGCGCAUUAGCUAGUUGGUAAGGUAACGGCUUACCAAGGCAACGAUGCGUAGCCGACCUGAGAGGGUGAUCGGCCACACUGGGACUGAGACACGGCCCAGACUCCUACGGGAGGCAGCAGUAGGGAAUCUUCCGCAAUGGACGAAAGUCUGACGGAGCAACGCCGCGUGAGUGAGGAAGGCCUUCGGGUCGUAAAGCUCUGUUGUGAGGGAAGAAGCGGUACCGUUCGAAUAGGGCGGUACCUUGACGGUACCUCACCAGAAAGCCACGGCUAACUACGUGCCAGCAGCCGCGGUAAUACGUAGGUGGCAAGCGUUGUCCGGAAUUAUUGGGCGUAAAGCGCGCGCAGGCGGCUUCUUAAGUCUGAUGUGAAAUCUCGGGGCUCAACCCCGAGCGGCCAUUGGAAACUGGGGAGCUUGAGUGCAGAAGAGGAGAGUGGAAUUCCACGUGUAGCGGUGAAAUGCGUAGAGAUGUGGAGGAACACCAGUGGCGAAGGC
This 581-nucleotide ribosomal RNA is filed under the name Bacillus sp. (in: firmicutes). RNAcentral describes it as "bacterial SSU rRNA". It matches the Rfam family "Bacterial small subunit ribosomal RNA", at positions 156 to 722 of the family's 1533-position model. Lineage: Bacteria; Bacillati; Bacillota; Bacilli; Caryophanales; Bacillaceae. The record is from RNAcentral.